Molecule: long non-coding RNA, 5859 nt
Organism: Symphalangus syndactylus (siamang)
Lineage: Eukaryota; Metazoa; Chordata; Mammalia; Primates; Hylobatidae
Source: RefSeq, a predicted model, not a curated record
CGGCUUAUUGGGCCAGCAAAAUUUCUGACACUCCUCCUGUGUGCUCCGUGCAUAGGGGAGAAAGUUUGAGGGAAUCAUUGAUACGGGCGCUGAUGUUUCUAUUAUCGCCUUACAUCAAUGGCCCCAACAUUGGCCAGAGGAGCAUGCGUCCACAGCAUUAGUUGGUGUUGGUCAGGCUUCAGAAGUAUAUGAAAGUUCCACAAUUUUACAUUGCACGAGCCCUGAAGGACCCUGCCACCACAGGAUCAGCGGCAGUAGAUCUCUGUUGUACCAGAGAUACUUCUAUUGGAAAUAUUGGAACUAUUGGAACUAUUUGCCACCUCAUUACAAGCAUUCCUGUUAACCUAUGGGGAAGAGAUCUUUUAUAUCAGUGGGGGGCACAGAUUUCUUUUCCUGAAGACAAUUACAGCCAACAGAGUAAAGACAUUAUGACCAAAAUGGGAUUUGUUCAAGUUAUGGGCUUAGGAAAAUUAGCACAAGGCAUCACCGAGCCUAUUAUAUCUACUCAUGAAUCAGACUACAGGACUGGAUUAUUCUUUUUAGAAGCGGUCACUAUCAAGCCUCCAGAUCCCAUCCCUUUGACCCGGAAAACUCAGAAACUGGUCUGGGUAGAUCAGUGCCCUCUCCCAAAAAAUAAGGGGGAGGCACUUCAUAUUUUGGUUCUUGAAUAGUUAGAAUUGUGACACAUCGAACCCUCUUUUUCUCCCUAGAAUUCACCUGUCUUUGUUAUCCAAAAGAAAUCUGGACUUUGAAAAAUUUGCUUUCACUGUUCCAGCCCUUAACAUCAUCACUCCUGCAGCACGUUACCAUUGGAAAAUCCUACCUCAGGGUAUGCUUAAUAGCCCUGCUAUUUGUCAAUAUUAUGUGGGAUGCAUAUUAAAACCAGUAAGAGAUUAAUUUCCCCAAUGUUAUGUUAUUCAUUACACAGACAAUAUUCUUUGUGCAGCACCUUCACGCUCUGUAUUAAUAUCUUGUUUUUCUGCUUUACAACAAGCAGUUACAGCAGCUGGCUUGGUUAUCGCUCCAAAAAAAUUCAGAGUUCUUCCCCUUAUCACUAUUUAGGAAUGCAGCUAGAGGACAAGGUCAUUAAGCCUCAAAAAGUUCAACUCAGAUGAGACUCGUUAAAAACUCUAAAUGAUUUCCAAAAAUUCCUAGGAGACAUUAAUUGGAUUCCUCCCUCCUUAGGCAUUCCUACUUAUGCUAUGUCUAAUCUUUUGCAAUGUUGUGGGGCAAUCCUGAUUUACGCAGCAAAAGGUCCUUGACUCCUGAGGUGGAUUCUGAAUUACAACUUGUAGAAAAAUGCAUUCAACAGUCUCAGGUUACCAGAGUGAAUCCACAUUUACCUUUUGAAAUACUAAUUGUUCCUACUUAACAUUCACCAACAAGACUCAUUAUUCAGGGACAUAAUUUAAUUGAAUGGUGUUUUCUUCCACACAGCUCUUUACAGACACUAACUAUUUACCUAGAUCAAAUUUCUAUCUUAAUUGGUCAGGCUCUUUCUCGUCUACUUCGUCUUUUGGGCACAGAGCCCCAAAAAAUCAUUGUUCCCCCCACCCAAUUACAACUUCAACAGGAUUUUGCUACUUGCAUCGCUUGGCAAGUACAUUUGGCAGGUUUCCCGGGUAUAGUUGAUAAUCAUUAUCCUAAUGUAAAAUUAUUUCAGUUCCUUAAACUCACUUCUUGGACUUUACCUAACAUUACUAGAAACACCCCAUUAGCUGAAGCUGUCACUGUUUUUAAUGAUGCUUCCUGUAAUGGCCGAGCAGCAUAUACAGGGCCAAGAGAAUGUGUUCUUAGCACAGGAGCUAUUUCAGCACAACGAGCUGAGCUGCUUGCUGUUAUGGCUGUCCUUGAAGAUUUCCCUAAACCAGUUAACAUUGUCUCUGACUCAGCGUAUGUAGUACAUGUUGCUUGCAACAUUGAAACUGCCUUGAUCAAAUUUCUGCCUGAUGAUAACCUAUUCUUUCUUUUUCAAAGGUUUCAGUCUGUGAUCAGAGCAAGGUCUUCUUUCUACAUUACUCACCCUCGGGCCCACAGACCCCUCCCCCGACCCCUCUCGGCAGCAAAUGCCUGAGCUGAUACUCCCGUUUUUACAGAUGCAGAAAAUUUUCAUGCCUUAACUCAUGUCAAUGCUGUGGGACUCCGAAAAAAGUUCCCCCUCACAUGGAAACACGCUAAAACCAUUGUACGUCACCGUCCUACUUGUCAAGUGUUAAUUUUACAGCCACUUUCCUCAGGAGUUAACCCUACAGGACUUUCACAGAAUCCUCUCUGGCAAAUGGACGUGACUCAUUAUCCUGCUUUUGGCAAGCUCUCUUUUAUACAUGUAACUAUUGACACCUUUUCUUAUUUUAUCUGGGCUAUUUGUCAAACGGGAAAGUACAGCUCAUGUUAAACGACAUUUGCUUUCAUGUUUCUCGGUUAUGGGCUGUCCUGAGAAAUUGAAAACUGAUAAUGGCCCCGGCUACAAUAGUGCUGCUUUUAAAAAGUUCACUCAAACAUGGGCAAUUACUCACACAACUGGCAUCCCCUAUAACUCUCAAGGACAGGCCUUGGUGGAACGAGCCAAUAAAACAAUCAAAAAUCAACUUCGAAAACAGGACACUAAAACAAAGAGGGAUGCUGCUACUCCUCAUGCUCAAUUAAAUCUGGCUCCUUUUUCCCUAAAUUUCUUAAACAUAGCAAGAAGUCAACCUUUUACCGUGGGAGAACAACAUUUCACUGGAAGUAAAUUUGAUCCACAAAAAGGAAUGCAGGUGUGGUGAAAAGAUUCAAAAACUAACAAUGGGACUUAGGCACAGUCGUAACAUGGGGUAGGGGUUUUGCUUGUGUUUCCCCAGGAAAAGGACUACAGCCCAUGUGGGUCCCCUCCCAACAAUUAAAAUUGCACCAUAACUCCAAAGAUGAAACGCUCCCAGAAACAAAAGGCAAAGACCCCUCGGAAACCAAAGAGCAACUUUUGCCGCCUGACACAUAAACUUCAUGACCUCGACAUUGAGACAAGAUCUCGCCAUGUGACCUACAACACCUCUGGUUCAACUCCUCCAACAUGGGGUCAAAUAAAGGUUUUGUCUCAUCAAACAGAAAAUUUAUUAAAAGAAAAAGGAAUCCCAGAAACGACAGGUAAUAUAAUUCUGGCUGCCUUUAUGGUAGUCAGUGGAGCCGUAAGUAUACCACCGGUUAGGGCAACUCAAAAUUAUACUUACUGGACAUAGGUUCCUUUUACCCCUGUAAUUCUGUCUGUCUCCUGGAUGAACUCCCCAGUAGAAGUUUACACUAAUAAUAGUGCAUUCAUGCCGGUCCCUAAUGAUGAUAGGUUUCCAGCUCAACCGGAAGAAGAAGGUAUGCGCUUUAAUCUGUCAAUUGGCGAUAAAUAUCCAUCACUAUGCAUUGGGAUGUCUUCUGGCCGUUUAGCUUAUUCUUACCAGAAUUGGAUUUGAACCGUACCGUCCUUUACAAAUGAUUCUUAUCGAGUACAUAAUGUGUUCAGUACCAAUUCGUUUCAACUUCUCACUGUCAAACUUAAUCCACAUGAGGAAUGGAGAAUUCCUGUCAGUACUAAAAUUAAUAAAAGGACUGCCAGACUGACCAAAGAAACCUACAAAGGUACCUUUUAUAGUGACUUCAAUUUUAUGGAAUGAUUGUGAUGCUCCCAAGGCCGUUGUGCUCCAAAGUCUACCCACGGGUAUUGUUAUUGAUUGGGCUCCAAAAUGGCAUUAUUGGCAAGAUUGCUCCGGCAAAAAUACCUCAUGCUCGGAGUUUAAUUAUUUGUUAGAUUAUAUAGAUGAUGGAUGGCAGUCAUACAGGUUGAGACAAUGAGUGUCUCCUUACCCAUUUAAAUGGAUGGACGCAGGCAUUGCUCUUCCUAGACCAAAAAUGAUUCAUCCCGUUGUUACCCCAGAAUAUCCUGAAUUAUGGAAAUCAGCUGCAGCUAUGACAGGAAUAAGGAUAUGGAACACUACGUAUCAACUCCUUCACACUAAUACCAAAACACCCACAUUCAACAUCACCUUGAUAUCUGAACAGAUGAUACCCAUCUGGAGCUGUGUCAAACCCCCUUACAUGCUGUUGGUUGGAAAUAUAAUUAUCAUUCCCAAUACACAAACUACAGAAUGUGAUAAGUGUAAGCUGUUUACGUGCGUUGAUGCUACUUUUAAUCCCACAACAAGUAUUCUCUUCGUAAGGACUAGGGAGGGGUUAUGGAUACCAGUUUCUUUACAUCGUCCUUGGGAGUCUUCCCCCUCCAUACACAUAGUCAAUGAAGUUCUUAAAAGUAUCCUCAAAAGAACAAAGAUUUAUUUUUGCUCUUAUUGCAGUCUUUGCAGUUCUAAUUGCAGUUACUGCAACAGUGGCAACCGCUGGAGUUGCCAUCCACUAUUCUGUUCAAACUGCUCAAUAUGUUGCAGCAUGGCAGAAAAACUCCUCCAGACUCUGGAAUUCUCAGACUCAAGUUGAUCAAAAAUUAGCUAAUCAAAUUAAGGAUCUUCACAAGAGUGUAAUCUGGCUGGGAGAUAGAGUUAUGAAUGUGGAACAUUAUAUGCAAUUACAGUGUGAUUGGAAUACUUCUGAUUAUUGCAUAAUACCUUAUGCUUGUAAUAAAGAUCAGCAUAGCUGGGAAAAGGUCUCAAGACACUUAAAAGCUUGGGAUGAUAACUUAACCUUGGAUAUUUCAAAACUUAAAGAUCAAAUUUUCCAGGCUUCACAAGCUCAUUUAUCCACUGUUCCUGGCUCAGACAUUUUUGAAGGAAUAACUAAAGAACUAUCUGAUCUUAAUCCCUUUAAAUGGAUCAAACCCCUCGGAGGAUCAUGAUUGUCACUGACGUUAUUAAUAUUGGUAUGCUUAUGUUAUCUCCUUUUAGUCUGCAGAUGCCUCCAAGGAGUCCGAAAACAAGUCCGAAGUCAAUGACGAGCAAUGAUGGCGAUGGAGAUCCUAGUUAAUAAAAAGGGGGGAGAUGUGGGUGGCAAGUCACCCAGGUGCCAAGGCAAGAGACCGAGGGCACGAGCUGUUCCAGGAUAAUACAAUAUAUAAAAUAAGAAUAGCUAUACUAGAUAUAGAUCAUAGAUAUGAUUAUAUAUGAAUAUUAUUAAUCAUUAGUUUGUAGCAAUUACUCUUCAUUUCAAUAUAAUAAUCCUCGCUUUACAAUCAUAACCUAGGAAAAACCAGGCCAUACAGAGAUAAGAGCUGAGGGGACAUAGUGAGAAGCUACCAGAAGACAAGAGUGCGAGUCUUCUCUUAUGCCCAGGCAGGGCCACCAGCGGGGCUCCUUGGUCUAAUGGUAAUGCUAGCAUCUGGGAAGACGCCCGUUGCCAAGCGGACCAUGGUCUAGCGGUAGCAUCACUGUCAAGGAAAAACACCCGCUACUUAGCCAACCAGGAAAGAGAGUCUCCCUUUCCCUGGGGGAGUUUAGAGAAGACUCUACUCCUCCACCUCUCGUGGAGGGCCUGACAUCGGUCAGGCAUGCCUGCAGUUAAUCUGGAGGCCUAACCGUCUCCCUGUGAUGCUGUGCUUCAGUGGUCACACUCGUAGUCUGCCUUCAUGUUCCAUCCUGUUCACCUGGCUCUGCCUUUUAGAUAACAGUAGCAAAAUUAGUGAAAGUACUAAAAGUCUCUGAUAUGCAGAAAUAAUGGCGUAAGCUGUCUCCUCUCUCUCGGCCUCGGCUGCCAGGCAGGGAAGAGCCCCCUGUCCAAUGGACAUGUAAGCCACAUGACCUUACCUAUCAUUGGAGAUGGCUCACACUCCUUAUUCUGCCCCUUUGUCUUGUAUCCAAUAAAUAUCAGUGCAGCCUGGCAUUUGGGGCCACUACUGGUCUCCGCGUCUUGGUAGUAGUUGUCCCCCAGGCCCAGCUGUCUUUUCUUUUA